AAAAAAAAAGUUUGUAUGGAGUUUGCCAACGUUUGCCAACGUUUGCCGCUAGGGGCGCUGUUCCAACUCCAUACAAAAUUGAGUUA
Molecule: microRNA precursor, 86 nt
Filed under: Bombyx mori (domestic silkworm)
Lineage: Eukaryota; Metazoa; Arthropoda; Insecta; Lepidoptera; Bombycidae
Description: mir-2807 microRNA precursor family
Rfam family: mir-2807 microRNA precursor family
Source: Rfam by way of RNAcentral